Molecule: ribosomal RNA, 274 nt
Filed under: uncultured Dialister sp.
Lineage: Bacteria; Bacillati; Bacillota; Negativicutes; Veillonellales; Veillonellaceae
Description: partial 16S ribosomal RNA
Rfam family: Bacterial small subunit ribosomal RNA
Source: RNAcentral
CUUGUAAACUUAGUGGCGGACGGGUGAGUAACACGUGAGCAACCUGCCUAUCAGAGGGGGAUAACGAUUGGAAACGAUCGGCUAAUACCGCAUGACAUAGCGGAACCGCAUGGCCCAUGGAAGAAAAGGUGGCCUCUACCUGUAAGCUAUCGCCUGAAGAGGGGUUUGCGUCUGAUUAGCUGGUUGGAGGGGUAACGGCCCACCAAGGCGACGAUCAGUAGCCGGUCUGAGAGGAUGAACGGCCACACUGGAACUGAGACACGGUCCAGACUCC